UCUUUGCUUUGAAGGGAGUUGUGCGGACUCUCCUGAUUGGCUGAAACUGCUCAGAAGGUUUUCAGUCAAACUGUCGAAAGGUCUGAGUUCGACCACGUAUGUUUGACCUUGUGCUGAUAGUAAAUGUUGUGAUUGCUAAUAUCCGAGAUAAAUGUUGCUAUGAAAGAGACUUUGUAGUCACUUAGAAGAUUUAGAAAGAAAUAUUUUCAUGAUUGUGUUCACCAAGAUGUGUUUGCAAGAAAUAUUUCCAUGAGGCAUCGUUGUUGCUUUUCUGAUGACUGUGCAGAGGAAAUUUGUCAUAUAAUACAACGGUGUGUUUAUACAAUUCCGCUGAAGUUAUUGCAUUCCAUUACGUCUUAUUUUGCUUGCUGGCUUAUGCAGGAUGAAGCUGGAAGGAGAGAUCGGGCUAUGAGGACCAACCUUGAGGAGUUCAUGUGAUUUACCGUUUCUUGGACUCAGAAGAUGUAUGUGCCGAAAGAGUAUUCUGCUUCCAUCAACAACUCAUGAUUCCCCCAGCUAUGGAGUGUUUGAUAUAUUGCUGCAGGAUUCAGUGUAAGGUUUUCCGGACAUUCGCUCUGAAUGGUCGCUGAAGAUUACAGCGACUGAGCCUUGGCAGCGACUUCGGCAAAAUGUGUUGAAAGGUACAGGGAAUAAAGAGGAUUGACUACUGCUUUAGUUUCCUCAAUUAAGUAUUCACUUACCAACAUAGGUUUAUAACUCGAGUCUGUACUUUACAAACCUACUGCUCAGUUUCUCUAACCUGGAUAUAAUCGAGCAGUAAUGGGAUACAAGGGAUACCUUGGAAAUCUUUUUGCCACGAAAAAUGUCCCGCUACCUCUUCACGUCAUCUCCAUAUUUGUCAUCAUCGUCUCGACCAAGAGCCAAACACUCAUAGAAGAUUGCAUUAUUAAGUUCCCGUCGUUGGACAAACAUCGUUGCAGAAGAAGAUAACAUCAUCAAAACGAGCGUAGUUCCUGGAAGUACUUAAAGCCUGCUAUAAUUUGUUACGAUAAUCAAGCACAGUAUAUCUUUAGUAAUAGUUAUCAGUUAUACAGAUAAAGAUCUUUGGCCCUUGGAAUUGUUGCAAAAUGAAGCAAUGAAGGUAAUAUUAGGUUGCCCUAGAACUGCAAGGAUUGAAAUAAUGCGAAUGGAGCUGGAUUUGCCAAGUGUCACUCAAAGAAUAGACUGAUUAGACAAAAUGAUAGGCAUCUUAAAACUAUUGUAAAUAGAUAUGUGACAUGCGUUCCAGGAUUCUUCAGACUGAAUGAAUAUUCACGAAGGCUUUGUAAAAUAUCGAUUGACUAUAACGUUUUUGAUUUCUGUAUCUUUGCCUAAUUCACGCCCAAUAAAACCUUGGAUUGCUGAGAAAGUAGAUAUAAGUAAUGAACAACUUGAUUUGAGAAAAAGACAACAAUCCUCACGAACUUUAGACAGCUGCUUUUGGAGAAUAUAUCUCAGUACCCUAGGGAUAUGGUGAUUCAUGCGUAUUGUGAUGGUUCUAUCACUGGAUGUCGAGCUGGUCUUGGUGUUGUAAUUAGAGAAUAUUUUGAAUUUGAUAUUAGCACAGAGGAGAGAAUAUCUAAAUGUAUUGGUGAUCACAGCUCAUCUACCACUGCUGAGCUGUUUGCUAUUUAUGAGUGUUUGAAAUUUGGAAUAAAUAAGGAAAAAUCUAUAAUAGAUUUUGUUGACAGUCAGUGCUCUUUUGGCUUUAAAUGCCAAAGUACCUUCUGAUGAUGGGAUAGUUACCAAAUGCAAAGAUUACGUUUCUGUUAUAAAAGCGUCAGGCUACAGUGUAAAAUUCGUCUGGAUACCCUCACAUCGUGGUGAAUAUUUUAAUGAUGUUGCUGAUGAAUUAACAAAAAAAGGAUGUAAUAAAGAAUCUAUAGAAUACGCCACUUCAGUUAGUAUGAGGAAAAUAAAGUCUCAUGUGUCAAGAGUAAAGGCCUGUCCACACGACCGGACCUGAUCGGCGGACCUUCCCUCUAACGGACACACUUGACAGGCAAACCGUCAAAUGGCCCGAUGGGUCUUGUAGCAAAAUCACCAUGGUGGUGCCCGAUGGCUUGAGCUUCGACCCUGGCAGACUUACGUUAACCAUAUACAUUUCUUUUACUGAGCCAUUCUUUGCACCAUAUUCUCUUGUUUUUCUUCUUUUUCAUCGCACACAAAGCAAUUACUAUGCUACACAAUAUCUUCUUAUUUGCAGUAUGCACCAUUUUUGUACAUGGAACUUACCCAGCAGAUAUAUACUUAGCUAUAGACUCCGUCGUCCCCGACAGAAAUUCGAAUUUCGCGGCGCACGCUGCAGGUAGGUCAGGUGAUCUACCGCCCCUGCCGCUGGGUGGCAGGAAUAGGAACGAUUACCGUUCUAGAACCAGAUUUUCUCUGUCGCGGUAGUGUCAACAUACGUUGUUGCUACCUCCUGACUUGAUUUUCGUUUUUUCAUCGCCAUCGACCUUCUGGGCUGUCUUUUGCAGGGAAGUACUGGGUCUUUGGUUUGGCAUACGCUUUUUUAACUUUUUAAUGAAUUUGGCUUCGAAAUUUCGAAGAAUAUAUUACGUGAAACUACCGAAUUUUUCGGUAGACACUUAUAUUUUGCAAUAAGGGAAAUAUUGAUUUUUUUUUUUUUUCACUAAUACGUGUAUAAGUGUUAGAACUUGAUGAAGGAAAUAUAAGAUCUAACUUCCUACUUUAGGAAGUCAGAAAGCAUAUAACUAGAUACGCCUUCCUUUAGAAGCUUUAAGAGCUCUCGUACUAACGAGCAGUUAGAGUAUUGACAAUUCUAGUAGUUGUUGCAUCCUCAUCACCUUCUUACUCCACAGAAUCUACAAAUUCAUAUGUGCAAAUUUGAAGAUAAAUGGAUGGAGCUCAAAAGGCGAGCUCUAAAAAGGUAAGAAGUGAAUAUAGUGUUCCCAGUGCAGUGGAGGGUGCGUCUGAUCGGCUCCGUAGCGCUUCCAGGCCUAGACCUCUUCCAAACUCCCAGACCCAGUGGAGGAGGAAAGUCGACAGCCGCAGGAAGGUUAGGGAGAACCCCCACCGGUCAGGCGUCCCCUCGGCAGGUUCUGUAGAACGUCCCAGACUGCCAAGGAUAGCCAUUGAUAAGGCAUCCUUAAAAAAGUGCGUCUCUUCAUCUUACAUCCGAAAAGACGAAGAAUGUAUGUUUGGAGUGAUCUAGCGCGUUCUCU
Long non-coding RNA from Macrobrachium nipponense, 3185 nucleotides. RefSeq lists it as uncharacterized. The transcript is spliced from 4 exons. The record is from RefSeq and is a predicted model, not a curated record. Lineage: Eukaryota; Metazoa; Arthropoda; Malacostraca; Decapoda; Palaemonidae.